GAAAUGCACUUACAAAUUUCUUUAAAUGACACCAAGACAAUUGCCCGAGUCACACACUCAGAUUGAGGGAAUUGUCAACAUAAUUUAUUAGGGGUACAGUCUGGGCUGGAGGGGUAUACUUUGGCCUGGUCC
Molecule: long non-coding RNA, 132 nt
Organism: Haliotis rubra (blacklip abalone)
Lineage: Eukaryota; Metazoa; Mollusca; Gastropoda; Lepetellida; Haliotidae
Exons: 3
Source: RefSeq, a predicted model, not a curated record